RNAcentral lists this unclassified non-coding RNA (1041 nucleotides) under Limulus polyphemus (Atlantic horseshoe crab). RNAcentral's name for it is "uncharacterized LOC106465588, transcript variant X3". Lineage: Eukaryota; Metazoa; Arthropoda; Merostomata; Xiphosura; Limulidae. The record is from RNAcentral.
UGUCCUUCGAAGUAGCCGGAGUGUGGGGAAUAUAGUAAUCAUCAUUUUUACUGGAUUUUCUUGAUUUUAACUCAGACAGACAAUGUCUGAAAUGAAGACUGAACUCCAGUACGAAUCAACUAUACAGACAACGCAGAAGGACAUUGAAAACCCAAUAAAAGAUGUAAAUAAGAAAAGCAACCACCUUGGAAUUGGAGAAAACAUGGUUGGAAGUAAUGCUGUAGAGGAACCAGCCCUGAAGAAGGUAAAACUUGCAAAAGACAACACAAUUGUAGAAACAGCUAAGGCAGCUAAAGAGUACCUUGGCGAGGAGGAUCUUGAAGAAACAAGAUCAGGUACCAGGGCUGUUAGAGACAGUAGCAAAGCAGCAAUGAAAAGACUAAGCACUAUGGCCAAAACUGCCAAGGAAGGAGAGGCUUUGCUUAAAGAGCUGGGACAUGCUGAUGAAGCAACAGAGUCACAGAGGAGACGUACUAGAUCUCAGACUCGGGGAGAUCCCAUUCCUGCACCUCCUCUAAAGAGAACCCCAAGACAGGAAGCAACUAGGCGAGGACGAAGAGGAAGGCCACGAAAAGAAGAAAGAAGGUCAUCAAGUGAGGACUUUGACCAAAAGGAUGAAAAAGAAGACAGCAAUGACGUGAAAGAACAGGAAACAACAAAAGUGAACAAUAAAGAGAAUGAAGAACAGGAAGAAAAAGGAAUCAAUCCACAGACAGAGGUGUCUACGGGAGAAAAUGAGCCACCUUCAAGUCAAAACUGAUAUUUUAUGUCACUCAGCUCUGAUUUUUCAACAAGCAGCUUCAUUGCCAGGGAAAAAAGGGAUUUGGUCUGCAUGUCAUUGGAAACAAAGACAAGAACUUGACAAAUUUGUUAAAAUUAACAUGAAUGAAAGUUCAAAACUACAGGUUUUACAUUUAAUAUAGUAAAUUACAACUUUUAUUUUAUUUCUUACCCUAGUAUUUUGUAGUGAGUUAACUGAAAACUUUUUAAGAAAUUACAAAGUAAAAAAUAUAAAAAGUUCCAAAAAUAUUACUUGCUAAU